This 124-nucleotide microRNA precursor is filed under the name Hordeum vulgare. Its description in RNAcentral is "microRNA MIR1122". It matches the Rfam family "MIR1120/MIR1122 microRNA precursor family". Lineage: Eukaryota; Viridiplantae; Streptophyta; Magnoliopsida; Poales; Poaceae. The record is from RNAcentral.
GUACUACUCUCUCCGUCCGAAAAUACUUGUCCUAGAAAUGAAUGUAUCUAGACUUAUUUUAGUUAUAGAUACAUUCAUUAUAUUCAUUUUUAGGACAAGUAUUUUCGAAAGGAGGGAGUAUUAC